Molecule: non-coding RNA, 26 nt
Filed under: Cricetulus griseus (Chinese hamster)
Lineage: Eukaryota; Metazoa; Chordata; Mammalia; Rodentia; Cricetidae
Source: RNAcentral
CAGGAUGGUAGAGAGCCUUGCCGAGA